RNAcentral lists this ribosomal RNA (550 nucleotides) under uncultured bacterium. RNAcentral's name for it is "bacterial SSU rRNA". It matches the Rfam family "Bacterial small subunit ribosomal RNA", at positions 355 to 896 of the family's 1533-position model. The record is from RNAcentral.
UGGGGAAUAUUGGACAAUGGGCGAAAGCCUGAUCCAGCCAUGCCGCGUGUGUGAAGAAGGUCUUCGGAUUGUAAAGCACUUUAAGUUGGGAGGAAGGGCAGUAAGUUAAUACCUUGCUGUUUUGACGUUACCAACAGAAUAAGCACCGGCUAACUUCGUGCCAGCAGCCGCGGUAAUACGAAGGGUGCAAGCGUUAAUCGGAAUUACUGGGCGUAAAGCGCGCGUAGGUGGUUCAGCAAGUUGGAUGUGAAAUCCCCGGGCUCAACCUGGGAACUGCAUCCAAAACUACUGAGCUAGAGUACGGUAGAGGGUGGUGGAAUUUCCUGUGUAGCGGUGAAAUGCGUAGAUAUAGGAAGGAACACCAGUGGCGAAGGCGACCACCUGGACCAACACUGACACUGAGGCACGAAAGCGUGGGGAGCAAACAGGAUUAGAUACCCUGGUAGUCCACGCCCUAAACGAUGCGAACUGGAUGUUGGGUGCAAUUUGGCACGCAGUAUCGAAGCUAACGCGUUAAGUUCGCCGCCUGGGGAGUACGGUCGCAAGACUG